UACGUAGGGGGCGAGCGUUGUCCGGAAUUAUUGGGCGUAAAGAGCGUGUAGGCGGCCCGGUAAGUCCGCUGUGAAAGUCGGGGGCUCAACCCUCGAAUGCCGGUGGAUACUGGUCGGGCUAGAGUGCGGAAGGAGGCGAGUGGGAAUUCCGUGGUGUAGCGGUGAAAUGCGCAGAUAUCAGGAGGAACACCAAUUGGCGAAAGGCAGCUCGCUGGGUACGUAACUGACGCUGAGAACGCGAAAGCGUGGGGAGCAAACAGG
This 261-nucleotide ribosomal RNA is filed under the name uncultured bacterium. RNAcentral's name for it is "partial 16S ribosomal RNA". It matches the Rfam family "Bacterial small subunit ribosomal RNA", at positions 524 to 776 of the family's 1533-position model. The record is from RNAcentral.